This 704-nucleotide long non-coding RNA is filed under the name Sus scrofa (pig). RNAcentral's name for it is "lncRNA (ENSSSCG00030045523.1)". Lineage: Eukaryota; Metazoa; Chordata; Mammalia; Artiodactyla; Suidae. The record is from RNAcentral.
AUGGUUGUAAACUAAAUCCAUUAUUUACUUAGGGUUGCAAAAUGGUUACAUACUAAUUUUACAUUUUUUUCCCACUUAUUUGCUGGGAUACAUCUGUAAAGAAUAACUUUCAUGGAGCUCCUGUUGUGGCACAGCAGAAACAGAUCCGACUAGGAACCAUGGGGUUGUGGGUUUGAUCCCUGGCCUUGCUCAGGGGGUUAAAGAUCUGGCAUUGCCUUGAGCUAUGAUGUAGGUUGCAGAUCCAGCUCGGGUCUGGCAUUGCUGUGGCUGUGGUGUAGGCUGGCAGCUGUAGCUCUGAUUCCAUCCCUAGCCUGGGAACCUCCAUAUGCUGUGGGUGUGGCCCUAAAAAGAAAAAAAAACAAAACAACUUUUGUUAUCUAAGCUGUUAAUAUGUAGGUGAAUUUGUACAGAAAAUACAGGAUAAAUGGGAUAUCUUUUAUUUGUAGAUUUUUUUAGAAGAAUGGAUUCAUUUUCAAGCAUCCUUCAAGUUUUCUUUCAGUUUCAUGUCAGACUGCUGUUUUACUCUGCAGCCUCUAUUAGACUGACCCCCGUAUUGCAUAGAAAUGGCUUAAAAUUCUCAACUGACAGAACCUGUAAAUGGCCAGGUAUGUAUAUUUUUCCUUAUUGUAGCCACAGCAAAAAUGUCUGAAACCUAAAAUUUAUUUUAACAGAAAACUCUGAAACCUAUCUCAAAUUGUUGUUGU